Molecule: non-coding RNA, 24 nt
Filed under: Arabidopsis thaliana (thale cress)
Lineage: Eukaryota; Viridiplantae; Streptophyta; Magnoliopsida; Brassicales; Brassicaceae
Source: RNAcentral
AUUUGGUGUGUCACUGUAGACAAC